GAAGGAAGAAGAAAAGAUGACGACGCAGAAUAAAGAGAUGGAAGUGGUGAAGGAUCUCGACUUGGAGAGAUACAUGGGCCGUUGGUACGAGAUUGCUUCUUUGCCUUCCAUUUUUCAGCCCAAGAACGGUAUUGACACUCGCGCCACCUACACCCUCAACCCUGACGGCACGGUUGAUGUCUUGAACGAGACGUGGAACAGUGGCAAGAGAGUUUUCAUCCAAGGCUCAGCAUACAAGACUGAUCCUAAGAGCGACGAGGCUAAGUUCAAAGUUAAGUUCUACGUCCCUCCUUUCCUCCCUAUCAUUCCUGUCACUGGAGAUUACUGGGUGUUGUAUAUUGAUCCUGAGUACCAGCACGCCGUCAUCGGCCAGCCUUCAAGGAGUUAUCUCUGGGUAUGUCUUGUUGUGUUUUGUCUCUUUAUGAUGAAUAUGAUAGAAAAAGCUAAGGAUUGAUAUUGAGUAUGUGGGAUAUGUGGUGUAGAUACUGAGCAGGACGGCACAUGUGGAGGAAGAGACAUACAAGCAGCUGCUGGAGAAGGCGGUGGAGGAAGGGUACGACGUCAGCAAGCUUCACAAGACCCCUCAGAGUGACACACCACCUGAGUCCAACGCUGCUCCUAACGACACCAAGGAUCAAAUGCUAAAAUAGACCACAAAGGGUCAAAAAAAUUUGAUAUAGACCUAUUGUUUCUUUAUUUUAAUAAUAAAUAAAAAUUAGGGAGAAAAGACAAUGAGACCUAAUGAAGUCAACCCAAAAAUUUAGAUGUAUUUUGGUAUAACUAAUGCAACAAGUUCAACUACACUGUAAUAUAUAAGAAUAGUACAACUACUCGACAUUAGUGUUUCAAUCAAAAUAUUUAAAAUAAGAUACACAUUCAAAACAUGAUGCAUAUUUAAAACAAUACUAAAUUAAAUAACAAGUAGUUAUACCGGUUUUCUAGUUGUAUCGGUUGUGUAUAGUUAAUAGUUGUACUAGUUUUUGAGUUGUACCAUUUUGUGCAUAGUUGUACUUUGGUAAUAAAAACCAAAAUAUUAAUUCUUCCACAUAAUAAAUAUAUUUAUCUCAGUUGUACCACUUAUUUAUGUUUUCAUGCAUUUGCCCGAUUAUAAUGAAAUCAUCAAUUUUAUAAAAAUACAUUUCAUGUAUGUUUUUCAAAAAUUAUGUGGACAAACAAGUUAACAAACCUUAAAAGUAUAAGGUAUAUCAUGUAAAUUUCUGGAACUGUGUAAUAACUUUUAUUUUAUUUUUUCAAAACUUAUAAUAAAUUAAGAAAAACUUUUUGAAUACAUACCCUUUGCCGUCUGCAAGAAACUGAAAAUCAACCCUUUGCAGUAUGUACACGACUGUUACACUUGUGAACGGUAUUACAAAACUUAUGCUGCCACUUUUUCUCCUGUUCCGGAGUUAUCAGCUUGGCCGGAAGCUUCCGGAGUUCUGAGAUUGUUUCCCCCAGUCAUUCCUCCGCCACCACCGCCUCCAUCUUCUGUAGUACCAUGUAAGGCCCAACGCAAAUCAACUCUUAAGACUAAUAAAAGGAAGAGCUGAGAAAUGUAGAUUUUCAUCUGAAUCGAACCGGACAUUUUGGUAUGUUUAUGUAGUAUCUUGCGACUUUCAGAAGUAGGGUUAAUCCCGGUUUGAAUUUUACGAUGUUGAUGCUGUAAUGUAAGAAACAGAACGUGUGUUGGUGUUUUUUUUUGGUAUGUGAUGAUUAAUCCGGUUUGUGUCAGAAAUUUUGUCGAUCCCAUGAACCGAUACAAAAACAAAGCUAAACCGGAUCGGAAACUGAAGCCAACCGUCAUGUUCUUCACCAUCUCAUUCCGAAUCGUUUCUCUCUUGCUAUCUCACUUCCAGGUGGGCGGUAAUAUACAAACAAAUAACAUGUGUAUGUUAAGCUUAUCCCUUUGCUCUUUAAGAAAGUUUUUUUUAAUCUGCAAGGAGGUGAGUGCGAUCCUAAAAUCCACUUUAGAAAUUUGUUAGUGUUUGUAAUAAGAUUAAAGAAGAAGAAUUUUGUGUACAACAAUAUCCUCAAACCAAAACAAAGUUGACGAAAAUGGACUUUAUGAAUAUAGAUCUCGAAUGUUUUACAAGAUAUGGAAAUGGUAAUCUAAACAAGGCUCAGAGGUGUGUUCAAACAUGUCAUGUCAUGUCUCUCCUUAAGGUGAGCCUCAAACUGAGAAUCAAAAUAAAGAUAAAGACUGAAAUGGGUAAGUGAAGAGUUUGAAGUCGAUAGGUUAGUGUGUUCAAAUAUGUCAUGUCUCCUUGCUCUCAUCUCUCAUCUUUUUUUUGGUUUUUGAUAUUUUCUCUUCUUCUCAUCAUUCCGAUCUCGGAAAUCUCGGACGCUCAGUGGUCACCACGAAAAAAGUUGAGUGUUACAAUCUAGUUAAUCGCACAAUUAUGAAAAAUGUUCUUGGGUGGGCCUAAAAAUGGCAAAAGAAAGUCAAAACAAAGUGUGAAUGUUUGGCUUGGCCCAUUGCAUUGUAUUCUUCUACGGUUCUACCUCCCGCCCAUAGAACAAAGAAAAGAGAAACAGACAUAUGUGUCCUCCUCCUUGUUUCAGAUUACAUCUCUUAGAUGCUACUAGAACCAUUUGCCCUACACGCUUCCCACGUGUCAGUCUCUCUUCCCACAGAAAUCCACUUUGUGGUCUUUUUCUGUUUUCUUUUAUAAAAAAUAAACAGAAUCCCUCUUUCUUAUCCUACUCAAUAAAAUAUCUGAACCUUAGAGAAGAAGGAAGAAGAAAAGAUGACGACGCAGAAGAAAGAGAUGGAAGUGGUGAAGGAUCUUGACUUGGAGAGAUACAUGGGCCGUUGGUACGAGAUUGCUUCUUUCCCUUCCAUUUUUCAGCCCAAGAACGGUAUUGACACUCGCGCCACCUACACCCUCAACCCUGACGGCACGGUUGAUGUCUUGAACGAGACGUGGAACAGUGGCAAGAGAGUUUUCAUCCAAGGCUCAGCAUACAAGACUGAUCCUAAGAGCGACGAGGCUAAGUUCAAA
RNAcentral lists this long non-coding RNA (2999 nucleotides) under Brassica napus (rape). RNAcentral describes it as "long non-coding RNA (BNAP_LNC001192)". Lineage: Eukaryota; Viridiplantae; Streptophyta; Magnoliopsida; Brassicales; Brassicaceae. The record is from RNAcentral.